This 507-nucleotide ribosomal RNA is filed under the name Triticum aestivum (bread wheat). Its description in RNAcentral is "partial small subunit ribosomal RNA". The record is from RNAcentral. Lineage: Eukaryota; Viridiplantae; Streptophyta; Magnoliopsida; Poales; Poaceae.
AUGGGUAUGCAGGCUCUGAUGGAUGUCCGGUGCAUGAACCUUGUCAACCCUGUAUGCGACUCGCUUGGUGAGAUCUACCACCCCGCCUCCAGGGAAUUCGUGAUUCCGGGACGUGGAAGACUACCAUUGAACGAGGAAUCUGUGUUCUGCACUUUGGGUGUGCCUCGUGGACAUAUCAAAGUCCCGUACGAGGUCAAUAAUGAGAUCGAGGAAGCGUUGUUCGCCCGUUUGUUUCCUGGAUUGGAAUCCAUGCCGAACACGUCUGCACUGGCAGAUUCGCUGCAGGCCAUGACGACGCAUGGAGAUGUUUUCAAGAUGAAGCUACUCAUGUACCUCAUCUCAGCUGUUUUCGCGCCGACCACUUCUCUUCGCCCAAGCAACAAAUGCUUUCCCAUCCUGGCGAAUCUGAAAAAUGUGAAGAACAUGAACUGGUGUAAGUUUAUUGCUGACUUCCUCCACGAUGCAUUCUCAAGCAAGAUGUACCAAAAGGGUUGUCACUGCAUUUAA